AAACAACAAAGAACUGCAGGCACUGGAAAUUCAAGCAUUUGACCCAGCACGGAUGGAAAAUGUACAAGGAAGGAGCUGGCUGGAUUCGAACCCAGGACCAUUAACCUCGAAGACUGGUCCUGAUGCCACUAUGCCACCGGACGACACAGGGGGUCAGUGUGGACAUGGUGGAGGAUUACAAAUACCUGGGGAUACGAAUUGACAAUAAACUGGACUGGUCAAAGAACACUGAGGCUGUCUACAAGAAUGG
Mobula hypostoma (lesser devil ray) is the source of this 250-nucleotide long non-coding RNA. RefSeq lists it as uncharacterized. Lineage: Eukaryota; Metazoa; Chordata; Chondrichthyes; Myliobatiformes; Myliobatidae. The transcript is spliced from 3 exons. The record is from RefSeq and is a predicted model, not a curated record.